Molecule: transfer RNA, 73 nt
Filed under: Stegodyphus mimosarum
Lineage: Eukaryota; Metazoa; Arthropoda; Arachnida; Araneae; Eresidae
Rfam family: tRNA
About the family: Transfer RNA (tRNA) molecules are approximately 80 nucleotides in length. Their secondary structure includes four short double-helical elements and three loops (D, anti-codon, and T loops).
Source: Rfam by way of RNAcentral
GCCUUUGUGGUGUAGAUGUCAGCACACUCGGCUUGUAUUCCAGAGGUCCGUAGUUCGAGUCCCGGCGAAGACA